AAGGGAAGAAGGAAUAGAAGAAGAAGAGAGAAGAAGAAUUCUGCAUUGUUAUUGAUUAUGGAGUGCCCCAUUACUUGUAUUUCCCUCCUAUUUAUACUACCCCUAACUGAGAUGCCUAUUACAGUUAGCUCAUCUUAUCUUAGUCAGCUGAUUACAGUCAGCUCAUCUCAUCUCAGUCCACUCAUCCCCUUAUUCAUAACAAAUGCACACCUUAAUUGUGUUUAUAAGCAUCCAUGGAUAAUGAUUAUACAAGUGAUAU
Molecule: unclassified non-coding RNA, 259 nt
Filed under: Hevea brasiliensis (rubber tree)
Lineage: Eukaryota; Viridiplantae; Streptophyta; Magnoliopsida; Malpighiales; Euphorbiaceae
Source: RNAcentral